GAUGAACGCUGGCGGCGUGCCUAAUACAUGCAAGUCGAGCGAACAGACGAGGAGCUUGCUCCUGUGACGUUAGCGGCGGACGGGUGAGUAACACGUGGAUAACCUACCUAUAAGACUGGGAUAACUUCGGGAAACCGGAGCUAAUACCGGAUAAUAUAUUGAACCGCAUGGUUCAAUAGUGAAAGACGGUUUUGCUGUCACUUAUAGAUGGAUCCGCGCCGCAUUAGCUAGUUGGUAAGGUAACGGCUUACCAAGGCAACGAUGCGUAGCCGACCUGAGAGGGUGGUCGGCCACACUGGAACUGAGACACGGUCCAGACUCCUACGGGAGGCAGCAGUAGGGAAUCUUCCGCAAUGGGCGAAAGCCUGACGGAGCAACGCCGCGUGAGUGAUGAAGGUCUUCGGAUCGUAAAACUCUGUUAUUAGGGAAGAACAAAUGUGUAAGUAACUAUGCACGUCUUGACGGUACCUAAUCAGAAAGCCACGGCUAACUACGUG
Molecule: ribosomal RNA, 497 nt
Filed under: uncultured bacterium
Lineage: Bacteria
Description: partial 16S ribosomal RNA
Rfam family: Bacterial small subunit ribosomal RNA
Source: RNAcentral